This 2922-nucleotide ribosomal RNA is filed under the name Escherichia coli. RNAcentral's name for it is "bacterial LSU rRNA". It matches the Rfam family "Bacterial large subunit ribosomal RNA". The record is from RNAcentral. Lineage: Bacteria; Pseudomonadati; Pseudomonadota; Gammaproteobacteria; Enterobacterales; Enterobacteriaceae.
GGGUUGUGAGGUUAAGCGACUAAGCGUACACGGUGGAUGCCCUGGCAGUCAGAGGCGAUGAAGGACGUGCUAAUCUGCGAUAAGCGUCGGUGAGGUGAUAUGAACCGUUAUAACCGGCGAUUUCCGAAUGGGGAAACCCAGUGUGUUUCGACACACUAUCAUUAACUGAAUCCAUAGGUUAAUGAGGCGAACCGGGGGAACUGAAACAUCUAAGUACCCCGAGGAAAAGAAAUCAACCGAGAUUCCCCCAGUAGCGGCGAGCGAACGGGGAGGAGCCCAGAGCCUGAAUCAGUGUGUGUGUUAGUGGAAGCGUCUGGAAAGGCGCGCGAUACAGGGUGACAGCCCCGUACACAAAAAUACACAUAUUGUGAGCUCGAUGAGUAGGGCGGGACACGUGGUAUCCUGUCUGAAUAUGGGGGACCAUCCUCCAAGGCUAAAUACUCCUGACUGACCGAUAGUGAACCAGUACCGUGAGGGAAAGGCGAAAAGAACCCCGGCGAGGGGAGUGAAAAAGAACCUGAAACCGUGUACGUACAAGCAGUGGGAGCCUCUUUAUGGGGUGACUGCGUACCUUUUGUAUAAUGGGUCAGCGACUUAUAUUCUGUAGCAAGGUUAACCGAAUAGGGGAGCCGAAGGGAAACCGAGUCUUAACUGGGCGUUAAGUUGCAGGGUAUAGACCCGAAACCCGGUGAUCUAGCCAUGGGCAGGUUGAAGGUUGGGUAACACUAACUGGAGGACCGAACCGACUAAUGUUGAAAAAUUAGCGGAUGACUUGUGGCUGGGGGUGAAAGGCCAAUCAAACCGGGAGAUAGCUGGUUCUCCCCGAAAGCUAUUUAGGUAGCGCCUCGUGAAUUCAUCUCCGGGGGUAGAGCACUGUUUCGGCAAGGGGGUCAUCCCGACUUACCAACCCGAUGCAAACUGCGAAUACCGGAGAAUGUUAUCACGGGAGACACACGGCGGGUGCUAACGUCCGUCGUGAAGAGGGAAACAACCCAGACCGCCAGCUAAGGUCCCAAAGUCAUGGUUAAGUGGGAAACGAUGUGGGAAGGCCCAGACAGCCAGGAUGUUGGCUUAGAAGCAGCCAUCAUUUAAAGAAAGCGUAAUAGCUCACUGGUCGAGUCGGCCUGCGCGGAAGAUGUAACGGGGCUAAACCAUGCACCGAAGCUGCGGCAGCGACACUAUGUGUUGUUGGGUAGGGGAGCGUUCUGUAAGCCUGUGAAGGUGGCCUGUGAGGGUUGCUGGAGGUAUCAGAAGUGCGAAUGCUGACAUAAGUAACGAUAAAGCGGGUGAAAAGCCCGCUCGCCGGAAGACCAAGGGUUCCUGUCCAACGUUAAUCGGGCAGGGUGAGUCGACCCCUAAGGCGAGGCCGAAAGGCGUAGUCGAUGGGAAACAGGUUAAUAUUCCUGUACUUGGUGUUACUGCGAAGGGGGACGGAGAAGGCUAUGUUGGCCGGGCGACGGUUGUCCCGGUUUAAGCGUGUAGGCUGGUUUUCCAGGCAAAUCCGGAAAACCAAGGCUGAGGCGUGAUGACGAGGCACUACGGUGCUGAAGCGACAAAUGCCCUGCUUCCAGGAAAAGCCUCUAAGCAUCAGGUAACAUCAAAUCGUACCCCAAACCGACACAGGUGGUCAGGUAGAGAAUACCAAGGCGCUUGAGAGAACUCGGGUGAAGGAACUAGGCAAAAUGGUGCCGUAACUUCGGGAGAAGGCACGCUGAUAUGUAGGUGAAGCGACUUGCUCGUGGAGCUGAAAUCAGUCGAAGAUACCAGCUGGCUGCAACUGUUUAUUAAAAACACAGCACUGUGCAAACACGAAAGUGGACGUAUACGGUGUGACGCCUGCCCGGUGCCGGAAGGUUAAUUGAUGGGGUUAGCGGUAACGCGAAGCUCUUGAUCGAAGCCCCGGUAAACGGCGGCCGUAACUAUAACGGUCCUAAGGUAGCGAAAUUCCUUGUCGGGUAAGUUCCGACCUGCACGAAUGGCGUAAUGAUGGCCAGGCUGUCUCCACCCGAGACUCAGUGAAAUUGAACUCGCUGUGAAGAUGCAGUGUACCCGCGGCAAGACGGAAAGACCCCGUGAACCUUUACUAUAGCUUGACACUGAACAUUGAGCCUUGAUGUGUAGGAUAGGUGGGAGGCUUUGAAGUGUGGACGCCAGUCUGCAUGGAGCCGACCUUGAAAUACCACCCUUUAAUGUUUGAUGUUCUAACGUUGGCCCGUAAUCCGGGUUGCGGACAGUGUCUGGUGGGUAGUUUGACUGGGGCGGUCUCCUCCUAAAGAGUAACGGAGGAGCACGAAGGUUGGCUAAUCCUGGUCGGACAUCAGGAGGUUAGUGCAAUGGCAUAAGCCAGCUUGACUGCGAGCGUGACGGCGCGAGCAGGUGCGAAAGCAGGUCAUAGUGAUCCGGUGGUUCUGAAUGGAAGGGCCAUCGCUCAACGGAUAAAAGGUACUCCGGGGAUAACAGGCUGAUACCGCCCAAGAGUUCAUAUCGACGGCGGUGUUUGGCACCUCGAUGUCGGCUCAUCACAUCCUGGGGCUGAAGUAGGUCCCAAGGGUAUGGCUGUUCGCCAUUUAAAGUGGUACGCGAGCUGGGUUUAGAACGUCGUGAGACAGUUCGGUCCCUAUCUGCCGUGGGCGCUGGAGAACUGAGGGGGGCUGCUCCUAGUACGAGAGGACCGGAGUGGACGCAUCACUGGUGUUCGGGUUGUCAUGCCAAUGGCACUGCCCGGUAGCUAAAUGCGGAAGAGAUAAGUGCUGAAAGCAUCUAAGCACGAAACUUGCCCCGAGAUGAGUUCUCCCUGACUCCUUGAGAGUCCUGAAGGAACGUUGAAGACGACGACGUUGAUAGGCCGGGUGUGUAAGCGCAGCGAUGCGUUGAGCUAACCGGUACUAAUGAACCGUGAGGCUUAACCUUACAACGCCGAAG